This 425-nucleotide ribosomal RNA is filed under the name uncultured Gammaproteobacteria bacterium. RNAcentral's name for it is "bacterial SSU rRNA". It matches the Rfam family "Bacterial small subunit ribosomal RNA", at positions 608 to 1029 of the family's 1533-position model. Lineage: Bacteria; Pseudomonadati; Pseudomonadota; Gammaproteobacteria. The record is from RNAcentral.
CUUAACCUGGGAAUGGCAUUCGAAACUGGUCAGCUAGAGUUUGGUAGAGGUAAGCGGAAUUCCGGGUGUAGCGGUGAAAUGCGUAGAUAUCCGGAGGAACAUCAGUGGCGAAGGCGGCUUACUGGACCAAAACUGACGCUCAGGCACGAAAGCGUGGGUAGCAAACAGGAUUAGAUACCCUGGUAGUCCACGCCCCAAACUAUGUCAACUAGCCGUUGGGUCCCCUUAAUAGGACUUAGUGGCGAAGCUAACGCGUUAAGUUGACCGCCUGGGGAGUACGGCCGCAAGGUUGAAGCUCAAAGGAAUUGACGGGGGCCCGCACAAGCGGUGGAGCAUGUGGUUUAAUUCGAUGCAACGCGAAGAACCUUACCAGCCCUUGACAUCCUCGGAACUUGGUAGAGAUACCUUGGUGCCUUCGGGAACCG